UAGUCGAAAUUUUUUGACGAGUCGUAAUAGAUUCAAAACAUAUAAAUAAACCAAUAGUAGUUGGGCUUGAAAUAAUUAAUUUAUAGGGAUUGUUAGUAACACACUUAAAUGGGCCUACGGAGAAGCCUUUUAGGGUUUUGCAGAUACUUAUCCUCAGCCGUUCAUCAACUUUCCCAAGACACGCAUCUCCACCGUCGAUCCCGCCAAAACCCCUCUUUAUAGAUGGAAUCGAUUCAGACUCUCUUUGUAUCAGUAGUCGAUAUUUCCUAGGGUUUUAGCAGCGGCAGUCGAAACCUAAUGAAAUAUUCUUUGUUGUCAUGUUCUGGGCUUUCUCUUUGUUAGAAGAUGUGAAACUCGUUUUUGUUUUUCUAGAUUUGGCUUCAUCAGAUAGUCUAUGCGGAUUUUUCCGUUCCCAUACGAUUCGUUCCCUUGAAGCAAUACCAAUCGUGUUGCCUUUUGUCUUUUAUACAUUCUCCCUAAGCACCAAUACUGUUAAUUCAAGUUUGAUGCUACUGAUUAGUGAGAAUAACUUGAGCAACUACAUGUCUUUGAUUUUUACAUCUGUUUGUUUUUAUAGAUGUAUGUUUGUGUUGGGAAGAACAGUGAUGAGUCAAUUUACAGACCUGUAAUGACAGCGAUAGUCGAUGUGGAUUUGCCCGUUCCCAUCUGAUUCGUUCCCUUGAAGCAAUAUCAAUCGUGCUGCUCUCGUUAUUCUAAUAUCCUCCUUAAUCAAUUAAAAGCAUCAAUACUGUUAAUUCUAGUUUUGAUGCCGAUUUGGGAGCAUAACUUGAGUGACUACAUAUCUCGUCUGUGUGUUUGUCUGUUUUUGUAUUUCGGGAGAACAGUGAUGAGUCAAUUUACAGACCUGUAAUGAUUGCGGUAAUGAUCGCAUUUCAUUAUGAACAUCUAAGGGACUGAGUUCUUAUUACCUAGAAUCCAAUUAAAAAAAAAAAUCAUGCUGUAUGAUUUGUUUAUUGAGAUAUUAAGAAGGAUUUCAAUUAUAAUUUGGUUGUGGAUGAUGAGUACAAAUAUCAAAAAACAGUUAUCCCUGUCUGAGGAUUUAUUCCUUUUGAUGAUUGAUUUGUAAUCUGACACUUAGAACACAUCUAUGUCAGUAUUAUAGUGAUGUUGAAAUUCUUUUAAUACGAAGUGUAAAAUUUGUUAAUUUUAGUUUGUUAUUGUUGGAUUGGCUGUUGAUACGCAACCUCUCAUCCUUAGCAAUUUUUGGUUUUGACGUGCGUUUGGAAAACUUCCACCUCUUUAUGUUAGUACUUUUAAAUUGGAAGCUGAAAUAAACUGAUAACCUUUUUAUAAAAUAUAUAUGGAAUAUACGAUAAACCUCAACUAUUGACUUGCGUUGUCAAUUUGUUAUUCGAUUCAAGUAACCUGCUAUUUGCACACAUCUCUAUCCAUUAUAAAUUUAUUUUAGUUUAUUUUGCAACAAUCAAUAGUUUAUCUACCCAAAACAGAAUGGACUUCUAAAGACUGAGUUGUUAUCCGGCGUUGAGUGAGCAAGCGUGUUGUGUGCACUAGUCGUUUAAACGAUGUUCUAUUCAUUAUCAGGGACGACCUCAAAGAUUUCAGUUCAUACACCUUUCUUUUUUCUCUAUCAGGGUAUGUCUAUUUUGGGGAUAUCUCAUAACCCAAAAAGGGUAUUUACUGGUAUGAAAUUUGUAGUUGUUGGGUGAACCAGUCGGUGAAACAUUGUCAUAUCCUUAUCACAUUUCAGUGAUUUCAAUUCAUUCGAACAUGAGUCUUUAAAACGUUGUCGACAGGUAACACGUGUCUUUGUAAGCACCAUAUGUGACGAUCAUACCGACGGUCCUUUGCCAAGAAUGGAACAAGUGGAUAUAUCAAUUCAGUUUGAAAAAAUAUUCAACUC
Brassica napus (rape) is the source of this 1882-nucleotide long non-coding RNA. RefSeq lists it as uncharacterized. The record is from RefSeq and is a predicted model, not a curated record. NCBI's taxonomy places the organism in Eukaryota, Viridiplantae, Streptophyta, Magnoliopsida, Brassicales, Brassicaceae. The transcript has 2 exons.